GUAGUCUGGCUCAGCGGUAGAAUGCAUGCCUAGCAUGUGUGAAGCACUGGGUUCAAUUCUCAGCAUGCUAUA
This 72-nucleotide transfer RNA is filed under the name Marmota monax (woodchuck). Its description in RNAcentral is "tRNA.Ala". Lineage: Eukaryota; Metazoa; Chordata; Mammalia; Rodentia; Sciuridae. The record is from RNAcentral.